CGGCGCUGCGGCGCUCAGAUCCGGCGCUGAGCCGUCCUGCCGGCCCUCACCAUCGCCGGCCUCCUCAGCUCCUCAGCUCUCCACACGGUGAGCCCCGCACCUGCAGUCGCCGGUCUCACCGUGUCCGUUGCCGCCGUCUCGGAUCGAUGCUGCCGUUCUCGUAGAGCCGAGAAGGCCGCCGCACAGCCACGCCAGCGUCGUCCCGCCGAUCCGAGAUGGCUGCUGCACUGGCCGCGCGUCGCUCGGCCCGCCGCUGCCAUCGGCGUCCGGAGCGACGCGCGGACCUGCUCGCCGCGACUCGGGUCCACGCCGCCCCCGCGGAAUCACCGAACUCAGCGCAGCCGCUAAACGCGAAUCUCCGCUCGCCCUCAUGGUCCCAGCCUCGCCACUCGCCGUCGCCGCCCCGCCCCGCCGCGGAUCUCCCCCAUGCCAGACCGCUCACAGCACCCGACGCUGCGGCUCCUGUCGUGACUGCCCACCGCGGAUAGUCGUAUCCGAACCUUGCUUGCUGUUGCUAUUCAUGGAGCUGUAUUUGUCUAUAAUCUGAGACGCCACUCUAACUUGAGCAAUUAAGAAUAGAAAUUGCUAAAUCUGCCACAUGUAUAGUGAAUAUGCACUGAGACUUCUUAUUGACAUUGCUAGGUCCUGCAGUCUGAGUGAAUGCUGGCUGUCACUAAAUUAUGAGGAGGCUCGGGCAUUGUUAGGUAGACUGGAACAUCAGAGACCACGAAUGCAGCAUUGCAAGUUCUUCAUGGAAUUGAUAUAAGAAGCCUGAGACCACGAAUGGCCAUUGCUAUUGCUGAAAGUAUCAAGCCUACAGCGCCACCACGCUCUUCAAGAAGGAAAUCCUCACAAGAAGGACAUGUCAAUGCAUAUGUCCAUGCACUCUGUAAGCUUGCUUGUAGAGGCCAUAUUGCUUAAAGCAAAAUCUUUGGACGCCCUUGGUAGAGUAACAGAUAUUAUUUGGAAGAUAAGAACGGUGGUGGAAUCUCUGCAUUGAUUUUGUAGGGCGCCGGCGGUCUGCUGCUGCACCUGCCCGCCAGCUGGUUAUGCCACCGCCCGGAGCAGCACAGUGCAGUCUCAGGCCGUAGGUGACUGCAGUGCUGUGUCCAUGGCUUCAACCUACGCCUAGGCGUUCGUGGUGGAUCCAGAGAAUGUGCUUCAAGCCGAGAAGCAAGCGGCAGCUGAUCGAGCUCAACAAGGUAUUAACACACGCAUGCCCAAUCCCAGUAGUUACGCCAUUAACUGUGUUUUCUUUGCGAUAUACUUGAAUUCAAUGGCGGCUUGGCUAGACAUUGUUACUGCACAUCUUAUAGAUGUAUCUUUAUGUUUAGUUUUGAGAUGAACCACUUCUUGCUGGUAUAUAGUGAGAAUGAGCGAGGUAGCAUAUGUUUUAUAGCAGUUCAUACAGCAUAGUGCAAUGUAUUUUCUAGACUGUCUUUUGGCAAUUUGUUGACUAAUCUAUUCAUUUAUGUUUGCUAUCUGCUAUCGUUCUCAUGUUCGGGCUUUGUUGAAAGUAUUAAUCAUAAUCAGUGAUCAGUGAGGAGCCAACGGUGCUCCGCCGUCAUGGUCGUCUGCUUGCUGUGGCUGCAGUGGCUCGACGUGGGCUUUUGCUGGGGAAGGGGAGGGGGGAGGGGGGAGGGGAAAGGUGAUGAUAUUCAAUAUCAAUGGCAUGUCUAAUGUUUUGCCUAAUUUGAGUUUUGUGACUAAUGUUUUUAAAAAAGAAUACACUGGGCCAAUGAUUUUAUAUUAUGAGCAAUAUAAGCAUUUUAAAUUGAUUGAUGAUUUUCA
This is a long non-coding RNA of Panicum virgatum (switchgrass), 1791 nucleotides long. RefSeq lists it as uncharacterized. The transcript has 3 exons. NCBI's taxonomy places the organism in Eukaryota, Viridiplantae, Streptophyta, Magnoliopsida, Poales, Poaceae. The record is from RefSeq and is a predicted model, not a curated record.